This 653-nucleotide long non-coding RNA is filed under the name Olea europaea (common olive). RNAcentral describes it as "long non-coding RNA (OEUR_LNC013407)". The record is from RNAcentral. Lineage: Eukaryota; Viridiplantae; Streptophyta; Magnoliopsida; Lamiales; Oleaceae.
GGGGACAGACGAAAGGUUUGUUUUUUUCUUCGAUCCCUCUGAGUUUCAAUUUUAUCUAUAAAUUAUUAUAUCACUGGUGUACACACCAUCAACUUUACUCAAUUUGUGAUAGAAUUAUACCUAAGAAUCUCUGGAUUAUGAAUUUUGAGUUGUGGCCUAAAUAAAAGCUCAAGGUUUUGAGCAUGUAAUUAUUGCAUUAGUAAGGGCAGCCGUACUUUCAGAUUACACUCACCAAAACUCACCAAAACUUUCAGAUUAUGAAUCACUGUUUUCUUUUUCUUGCUUUAUAUUUCAAGAGAAGAGUUUCUCUUCUGUAGUAUCAUAUAUGAAAUUGUCCUUAGAAUAGCGAAUUGGCAGGUUCUGCUAAGCUUCUGGAAACAGGUGGGGUGCCAAAAUUAUGUUUGGUAACAAGAAUGUUUAGUUCAUUUCAAUGGAAAAGUUGUGCCAAACAAAUUCCAAGUCUUAAACUUUCUACUCUAAUGACCAUUUUACAAAUCUCUCCUCUUGAAGUGUGCACGAUAGUCUGGAGCCAUGCCCAGAGCUCAAUUUCUGCCUGCUGCUAAAUUUUUUUGUUUACAGUCUAAUUAAUGAUCAGCAGUAACAUUGAUAUAUAUGCUCAUACUAUUUUUACUACAUACAAUCUUAGCUUCGAC